This 723-nucleotide long non-coding RNA is filed under the name Pan troglodytes (chimpanzee). RNAcentral's name for it is "long non-coding RNA NONPTRT012754". The record is from RNAcentral. Lineage: Eukaryota; Metazoa; Chordata; Mammalia; Primates; Hominidae.
UGCUGCCACACACACUCCCUGGAGAAGCUCAUCCUCUCUCGUGGGACAUGCAAAUUACUCUCAAAUCCCUGUCUCCAAUGGAACUCUUUGCCCUAGCUUCUCCCAUAGGCAACACAAAGCCAGCACUCCCAAAAUGGCAGUGGGAGCACAGUCAUUUUCCUUGCUGGCUCUGGUUUUCCCCUCAGCGCAAAGUGGCUCGUCCUCCUCCUCCCUGCCCACUCAUCUCUUCACUUGGUGGAACCUUAUUCAUCCUUAACACCAGGUAAGUUGUACCCUCUUCAUCACUCCUCCCUGACCAUCUUGUAAAUGCUCCUAUAAUGCCCUGAGCCUAUCCCCUAUGUUAUGGGUUGAAUUCUGUUUCCAAAAUUAGUGUAUUGAAGUCCUAACCCCAGAACCUCAGACUGACCUUAUUUGGAAAUAGAAUCAUUGCAGAUGCAAUUAGUUAAGAUGGGGUCCUAUUGGAGUAGAGUGGGCCCUAAUCCAAUAUGACUAGUGUUCUCAUAAAAAGGAGAAAUUAGGACACAGACCCACACAGACCUACAAAAGCACCAUGGGAAGAUAAAGCCAGAGAAGGGAUAAUGCUUCCACAAGCCAAGGAACACCAGAGAUGACCCACAAACCUCCAGAAGUUGUGGGGGGCCUGGAACAGAGCCUUCCCUGGCAGCUCUUAAAAGGAAGCUCUGGCCUCUAGAAAUGGGAGACAAUACACUUCUAUUGUGAAGC